AGUCGAACGCACCCUUCGGGGUGAGUGGCAGACGGGUGAGUAACGCGUGGGAACGUACCCUUUGGUUCGGAAUAGCCCUUGGAAACGAGGAGUAAUACCGAAUGAGCCCUACGGGGGAAAGAUUUAUCGCCGAAGGAUCGGCCCGCGUUAGAUUAGCUAGUUGGUGAGGUAAUGGCUCACCAAGGCGACGAUCUAUAGCUGGUUUGAGAGGAUGAUCAGCCACACUGGGACUGAGACACGGCCCAGACUCCUACGGGAGGCAGCAGUGGGGAAUCUUGGACAAUGGGGGCAACCCUGAUCCAGCCAUGCCGCGUGAAUGAUGAAGGCCUUAGGGUUGUAAAAUUCUUUCAGUGGGGAAGAUAAUGACGGUACCCACAGAAGAAGCCCCGGCUAACUCCGUGCCAGCAGCCGCGGUAAUACGGAGGGGGCUAGCGUUGUUCGGAAUUACUGGGCGUAAAGCGCGCGUAGGCGGACUAGCCAGUCAGAGGUGAAAGCCCAGGGCUCAACCCUGGAACUGCCUUUGAUACUGUUAGUCUGGAGUCCGGGAGAGGUGUGUGGAAUUCCGAGUGUAGAGGUGAAAUUCGUAGAU
Molecule: ribosomal RNA, 589 nt
Filed under: uncultured bacterium
Lineage: Bacteria
Description: bacterial SSU rRNA
Rfam family: Bacterial small subunit ribosomal RNA
Source: RNAcentral